Molecule: ribosomal RNA, 274 nt
Filed under: uncultured bacterium
Lineage: Bacteria
Description: partial 16S ribosomal RNA
Rfam family: Bacterial small subunit ribosomal RNA
Source: RNAcentral
AUACAGAGGGUGCGAGCGUUAAUCGGAAUUACUGGGCGUAAGGCGCGCGUAGGCGGCUUGGUCAGUCGGAUGUGAAAGCCCUGGGCUCAACCUGGGAAUUGCAUUCGAUACUGCCAAGCUAGAGUAUGGGAGAGGGAAGUGGAAUUUCCGGUGUAGCGGUGAAAUGCGUAGAUAUCGGAAAGAACACCAGUGGCGAAGGCGACUUCCUGGCCCAAUACUGACGCUGAGGUGCGAAAGCGUGGGGAGCGAACAGGAUUAGAAACCCUAGUAGUCC